AUUGAACGCUGGCGGCAGGCCUAACACAUGCAAGUCGAGCGGAUGAAGGGAGCUUGCUCCUGGAUUCAGCGGCGGACGGGUGAGUAAUGCCCAGGAAUCUGCCUGGUAGUGGGGGAUAACGUCCGGAAACGGGCGCUAAUACCGCAUACGUCCUGAGGGAGAAAGUGGGGGAUCUUCGGACCUCACGCUAUCAGAUGAGCCUAGGUCGGAUUAGCUAGUUGGUGGGGUAAAGGCCUACCAAGGCGACGAUCCGUAACUGGUCUGAGAGGAUGAUCAGUCACACUGGAACUGAGACACGGUCCAGACUCCUACGGGAGGCAGCAGUGGGGAAUAUUGGACAAUGGGCGAAAGCCUGAUCCAGCCAUGCCGCGUGUGUGAAGAAGGUCUUCGGAUUGUAAAGCACUUUAAGUUGGGAGGAAGGGCAGUAAGUUAAUACCUUGCUGUUUUGACGUUACCAACAGAAUAAGCACCGGCUAACUUCG
This 482-nucleotide ribosomal RNA is filed under the name uncultured bacterium. RNAcentral describes it as "partial 16S ribosomal RNA". It matches the Rfam family "Bacterial small subunit ribosomal RNA", at positions 30 to 505 of the family's 1533-position model. The record is from RNAcentral.